GAGCCGGUUAGUCCAUCCCCGCGCUCCGCAAACUUUUCUAACCGGGUAACAAAGUGAGCAGCGGUGGCCGCCGCGAUUCCUUUAACUUCGCAUUCCGGAGGCUCGAGGGGGCUCUGGGACCGAGCGGCCUCGCAGCGGCGACAGAAAUACAUAUUUUACGAAAAAGAAAAAAAAAAAAACGAGUCGCGCGAACCCGUCAAGUCAGAUGUGCGCGGCUUGAAGCGGAGGAGGCUCUGACGUCAGCCCCACCUCGCGCAGCCCGGCCUGGCCGCAGACUCGCCGGUCACUCGCCGGCGGCUCAGGCCGGGAGGGGCCAGGACAGUCCCGGCCGCGCGGUGGACGGAGGGGCCAUUCCUCCGGGCGUUAGCAAAUAAAUUCCAUCCGAGUCAAUAUCGCCCAGCGAACGGUGUUUCUCUUUAGUCACCCGAGAACGAGAGGCACUUUUAAUUAGAAAUUAAUUAAUGAGCAGCUGCUCCUUCCCGCCCCACUGUAAUCAUUCGUCUCAAUUACAAAUGAGACCUAUGAAAGGACACGCUGAAGAUGUAAUCAACAGUUAAAAUUAGCCCGGCGCUGCGCAGGCGGCCGGCCCGGCCUCGCGCUGGCGCGCUCUGCUCCGAGUGGCAGGAAGGGGCUCGCAGGCGCCCCGCACGCGUCUCGUCACUAUUGUUUAAUCGAGAAUCAGCAACGCCUCCCGCCGGUUUCCACCCUACGCCGGAAUGGACUUUCAGAACCCACUGCGGCCGCAAGACAGCCCGCAAGAGCUGGUCAAAAUGCCCUCAGCUGCAAGCCUGCCUCCCAGAAACGAAAUCUGCCUGCUCUUUUGACAGCUCGGUUGAAGGUGAUUGAUGACUAUCUGGAGACCACAGUACACAUCAUAUAAUAUCUGCUGCGUAAUUGCUUUAAUUUACAGAUGAAAAUACGAGUUCUCCGAUCGCGUUGGACCGGAGCGGGCCACGUCCGAGCUGCUUGCAGAGGGAAACCAUCGGAAAUAAUGAAUAGCCGCUCCAUGCAAAUUAUUCAGACAGUUUAGCGUCGGUAGCCGCGAGAAAUAUAUAAAGAACACGAGUCAAAUGACAUUA
This 1079-nucleotide long non-coding RNA is filed under the name Homo sapiens (human). RNAcentral's name for it is "HSALNT0324709". The record is from RNAcentral. Lineage: Eukaryota; Metazoa; Chordata; Mammalia; Primates; Hominidae.